UACAGAGGGUGCGAGCGUUAAUCGGAAUCACUGGGCGUAAAGCGCACGUAGGCGGACUCUUAAGUCGGUGGUGAAAUCCUGGAGCUCAACUCCAGAACUGCCUCCGAUACUGGGAGCCUUCGAGUCCGGGAGAGGUGAGUGGAACUGCGAGUGUAGAGGUGAAAUUCGUAGAUAUUCGCAAGAACACCAGUGGCGAAGGCGGCUCACUGGCCCGAUACUGACGCUGAGGUGCGAAAGCGUGGGGAGCAAACAGG
This 254-nucleotide ribosomal RNA is filed under the name uncultured bacterium. Its description in RNAcentral is "partial 16S ribosomal RNA". It matches the Rfam family "Bacterial small subunit ribosomal RNA", at positions 524 to 776 of the family's 1533-position model. The record is from RNAcentral.